Molecule: ribosomal RNA, 253 nt
Filed under: uncultured bacterium
Lineage: Bacteria
Description: partial 16S ribosomal RNA
Rfam family: Bacterial small subunit ribosomal RNA
Source: RNAcentral
UACGGGGGGGGUAAGCGUUGUUCGGAAUUACGGGGCGUAAAGGGCUCGUAGGCGGCCAACUAAGUCAUACGUGAAAUCCCUCAGCUUAACUGGGGAACUGCGUGUGAUACUGGAUGGCUUGGAUUUGGGAGAGGGAUGCGGAAUUCCAGGUGUAGCGGUGAAAUGCGUAGAUAUCUGGAGGAACACCGGUGGCGAAGGCGGCAUCCUGGACCAAUAUUGACGCUGAGGAGCGAAAGCCAGGGGAGCAAACGGG